RNAcentral lists this ribosomal RNA (696 nucleotides) under uncultured bacterium. RNAcentral describes it as "bacterial SSU rRNA". It matches the Rfam family "Bacterial small subunit ribosomal RNA", at positions 32 to 715 of the family's 1533-position model. The record is from RNAcentral.
AACGCUAGCUACAGGCUUAACACAUGCAAGUCGAGGGGAAACGACAUCGAAAGCUUGCUUUUGAUGGGCGUCGACCGGCGCACGGGUGAGUAACGCGUAUCCAACCUGCCCAUCACUUGGGGAUAACCUUGCGAAAGUAAGACUAAUACCCAAUGAUAUCUCUAGAAGGCAUCUGAAAGAGAUUAAAGAUUUAUCGGUGAUGGAUGGGGAUGCGUCUGAUUAGCUUGUUGGCGGGGUAACGGCCCACCAAGGCAACGAUCAGUAGGGGUUCUGAGAGGAAGGUCCCCCACAUUGGAACUGAGACACGGUCCAAACUCCUACGGGAGGCAGCAGUGAGGAAUAUUGGUCAAUGGACGAGAGUCUGAACCAGCCAAGUAGCGUGCAGGAUGACGGCCCUAUGGGUUGUAAACUGCUUUUAUAAGGGAAUAAAGUGAGUCUCGUGAGACUUUUUGCAUGUACCUUAUGAAUAAGGACCGGCUAAUUCCGUGCCAGCAGCCGCGGUAAUACGGAAGGUCCGGGCGUUAUCCGGAUUUAUUGGGUUUAAAGGGAGCGUAGGCCGGAGAUUAAGCGUGUUGUGAAAUGUAGACGCUCAACGUCUGCACUGCAGCGCGAACUGGUUUCCUUGAGUACGCACAAAGUGGGCGGAAUUCGUGGUGUAGCGGUGAAAUGCUUAGAUAUCACGAAGAACUCCGAUUG